This 1790-nucleotide unclassified non-coding RNA is filed under the name Hevea brasiliensis (rubber tree). The record is from RNAcentral. Lineage: Eukaryota; Viridiplantae; Streptophyta; Magnoliopsida; Malpighiales; Euphorbiaceae.
AUUUUUGGAAGAAUCUGGCCUGCUGCUUAUGAUUGCAAUCCUUAGCGGGUAGCUUUUGUGCCUGAUGCUCAAUUGAAUCACAAAAGCUUGGAUCCAACUAUAAUGCCCAAAUCGUUGCAUUUUAUCUCCUUAAGCUGAUCUUUCCAAUUACUCCAUUCUCACAAAACAACAUAAACCCUAGCUAGCGUUAGAUCUCAUCACCAUGGGUGACUACAACGACGCCUUCAUGCGCAACCAAAACGUAGCCGUUCGUGGCACCACCAAGGGCCAGAACCGCGCUAAUGUUCUCCAGCUCAAACUGAUUGGGCAAAGCCACCCGACUGGUUUAACAGCUAAUUUGUUGAAACUAUUUGAGCCUCGACCUCCACUGGAGUAUAAACCCCCUCCAGAGAAGAGAAAAUGCCCACCAUACAAUGGCAUGGCGCAGUUUGUGAGUCUGUUUGCUGAGCCUGGGGAUCCUGAAUAUGCUCCAUCGGUUCAGAAAGCUGAAAUUCCUGCACAAAGAAGGGCUAGAAUUCACAAAUUACGACUUGAGAAAGGUGCAGAGAAGGCUGCUAAGGAGCUUCAGAUAUAUGAUCCGAAUAAUGACCCAAAUAUUUCAGGAGAUCCAUACAAGACAUUGUUUGUUGCUAGGCUUAAUUAUGAGACAACUGAGAGUAGAAUUAAAAGGGAGUUUGAGUCUCAUGGACCAAUAAAACGGGUAGGUAUUUUCAAGUGUACCCAAGCGGAUUUGGUAAGAGGUUAUGCGGUGAUAUUAUCUAAAUGCUUCACAAUUUGCUUUUUUCCCCCUUUCCAAAUUCUGGUUUUUGAAAAUCUUUAAGUUCACGCCUUCUAUUCUCAAUGUUUUGAACUUAAUAAAAGAUUUUCGAGGCACUAAAGUUUCUCCUAAUUAUCUGCCUGUAUUUUGCUAAUAUUCCUUAGUUGAACCUAUGAUAACUCAGCAUUAAAGCUUUUGCUGCUUGGUAAGAUUACUUUUAAAAGCCCUUUUAACCAAACUUUUGAAUUCAGUAGAGUAUCACAGUUUCAACAGUUCUGCAUUGGUGGUAAGUGUAAUUAGUUAUGUGUAGUGCAUCUUCAGCGUCUAUUGAAAGGGAGAAUGAUAAUGUUGAGCAUCUACCUGUUGUGUAGUAUCAUUGGAGUAUGCAAAUAAUAGCAGAGAUAUCACAGCCUAUUUACUGGUAAAGGCUUUGGUUUGUUCCGCUGAUCCUUUGAUUACUCUGCUUUAAAUUUAGUUUGGUUUAGAAAUCAUCAUUGGAUUUUUGGUGGGGGGUGUGGGGGUGUUGUUCCGUUUCUAGGUAUUUUGUUUAGUAUUAAGAUUCUUCAUGUUAAGAGAUCCCUAGUAAGGAGGCUGUUUGUUCUGUUCUAUGAAUAGAAAUUUUUCUUCCCCUUUUCCUUACCAUCCAAUUCCAAUGAUGUUCUUCAUCCUGCCAGCAAAGCUGUUAAAUUAAGUUGAGCAGAGCAGUGAUUUACUGUGCCAUUUGGCCUUAUUUUCAAGCUACAAAAGGAGAUUGGCAUCUGUUCUUUUCCAUGCAAUGGGUAAAACAUGUCGGGAGUAUUAGCAUUUCUUUCUCCUUGUUUGAGUUUUUUUGUAAUGCAUUUCCCUGCUACUAAAAAUUUUAUUUUUGGCUCCAAAGGCUGUCAAAACAUAUCGGCAGUUGAGAAGAUGUCCCGGUAUUUGCUACUUUAUUUAUAACUAUAUUUUAUUCUUUAAAACAUGCGUUCCCUGGUAAGGGGAUAUUAGUCUGUUCAAGAAUUGGUAAAUUUGCCACGAAGUAUCAGUUUUUCUGCAA